UUCCUGCUUCAGCUCAGCACCAGAAGAAUCAACACCAGCGGAUUCUGACAGUUUCAAAGAUAAAGGCUGUAGUGGAAGAGGAUUAUGGAAGAAAUGUUUUGCUGUGGUGGCAUAAGAAAAAGGCAGGGGAAUUGGAACAGCAUAAUGAGAAGAGAGACCUUUCUGUUUUGGAUGAAUUUUACCAAAGAACACAGCUCAAAGACAAUUUCAUAUAAAUCUGCAAUUGACAACAAAAUAUGGCAUUUAUGUGCUCAACGCGCUUCUUAUACAUUAUCUCUGUUACCUUACAGCAGCCCUAAAGGUAUAUAAAGAAGAGGGGCGUCGCACUUGGAGUCGCCUUGAGGUCACCUGGAGAAGAAGAUCAGAAGAAGAUCAUGGAAGAUUCCUGUUCUUAUUGUUUUGUUUGGAUUAUGUUAUUCUUAAUGCUGGUCAGGUAUUAUUUUAUUGUUUAGAUUUUUAGAUUCUGUAUCAUUUCUGUAUCAUUUCUGUAUCAUUUUUGCU
Long non-coding RNA from Rhineura floridana, 501 nucleotides. RefSeq lists it as uncharacterized. The transcript is spliced from 3 exons. The record is from RefSeq and is a predicted model, not a curated record. NCBI's taxonomy places the organism in Eukaryota, Metazoa, Chordata, Lepidosauria, Squamata, Rhineuridae.